This 320-nucleotide ribosomal RNA is filed under the name uncultured Lachnospiraceae bacterium. RNAcentral's name for it is "partial 16S ribosomal RNA". The record is from RNAcentral. Lineage: Bacteria; Bacillati; Bacillota; Clostridia; Lachnospirales; Lachnospiraceae.
GGAGUUUGGGCCGUGUCUCAGUCCCAAUGUGGCCGUUUACCCUCUCAGGCCGGCUACUGAUCGUCGCCUUGGUGGUCCGUUACACCGCCAACUAGCUAAUCAGACGCGGGUCCAUCUUAUACCACCGGAGUUUUUCACACUAUGAGAUGCCUCAUCGUGCGCUUAUGCGGUAUUAGCAGCCGUUUCCAACUGUUGUCCCCCGGUAUAAGGCAGGUUGCCCACGCGUUACUCACCCGUCCGCCACUAAGAUUACAACUUAGCAAGCUAAAAAGUAAUCUCCGUUCGACUUGCAUGUGUUAAGCACGCCGCCAGCGUUCAUC